This 394-nucleotide ribosomal RNA is filed under the name uncultured bacterium. RNAcentral's name for it is "bacterial SSU rRNA". It matches the Rfam family "Bacterial small subunit ribosomal RNA", at positions 505 to 898 of the family's 1533-position model. The record is from RNAcentral.
GUGCCAGCCGCCGCGGUAAUACAGAGGGUGCGAGCGUUAAUCGGAAUUACUGGGCGUAAAGCGCACGUAGGUGGUUUUGUAAGUCGGAUGUGAAAUCCCCGGGCUUAACCCGGGAACUGCAUUCGAGACUGCAUUACUCGAGUAUGGGAGAGGGAAGCGGAAUUUCCGGUGUAGCGGUGAAAUGCGUAGAUAUCGGAAGGAACAUCAGUGGCGAAAGCGGCUUCCUGGCCCAAUACUGACACUCAUGUGCGAAAGCGUGGGGAGCAAACAGGAUUAGAUACCCUGGUAGUCCACGCCAUAAACGAUGAGAACUAGAUGUCGAGAGGGUUAGCCUCACGGUGUCGCAGCUAACGCGUUAAGUUCUCCGCCUGGGGAGUACGGCCGCAAGGUUGAA